UACGUAGGGGCCUAGCGUUGUCCGGAUUUAUUGGGCGUAAAGAGCUCGUAGGCGGUUUGGUGAGUCGGGUGUGAAAUCUCCACGCUCAACGUGGAGGAGCCACCCGAUACUGCCAUGACUAGAGUCCGGUAGGGGAGUGUGGAAUUCCCGGUGUAGCGGUGAAAUGCGUAGAGAUCGGGAGGAACACCUGUGGCGAAGGCGGCCCCCUGGGCCGCGCCUGACGCUGAGACGCGAAGGCUAGGGGAGCGAACGGG
Molecule: ribosomal RNA, 254 nt
Filed under: uncultured bacterium
Lineage: Bacteria
Description: partial 16S ribosomal RNA
Rfam family: Bacterial small subunit ribosomal RNA
Source: RNAcentral